ACUGCAGUAAGGUGCUUGUUGCUACUGUAUGAUUUUCUAAAACUUUCAAAUAGAAACAGUAUAAAUUUGAACAUCUUAUGGCUGGAUUCAUUCUUAACAACUUCAGCUCUUAUGCUCACUGUUCUAUAUACAUAUAAUUAUUGGUUUUGCAGCUGCUUGAUGCCUCCCUCACCCCCCAAAAGGUCAUCUUUGAUAAUGUUUCCAUUUUUCAGGUCUCCCUUAAAUCCUGUUCUGAGUCUGACCUUUGACAGAGUGACUGCAGCUGAAAAGAAUGGCAUCACAGUUAUUUAUAAAACACUUCUGGAUCCCACUGUUGAUUUGCUGCCUGGAAGUGACAAUUGGGAAGCUUGUAAUGGAUUCCCAGACAAUCUCAGAUUAACCAGUCUUCAGGAACAUCACACCUUGGCAGCUGUGGAUCCAAACAGCUAUUUUAUGCGGUCUAAGGUGAGCAAUGAUGACAUCUAUAAAAGCAAAUAUUUCUGACUUUCAUAAAACUUAAAAAGAAAUUGACUAGUUUUUUCUGAAUAUGGAUAAAAUUACUGGGUCAUAAGAGGUUGGAAUGUGUGUCCAAUGGAAAACAAUCCAGUACAGGUAGAAAAUAUCCACACUUGCCUCUACUAAUAUUAGCAGAGUCUGUUUAUGUGUGUCAGCUAAUAAACCAAUUCACUAGCUGCUGUUGGGCAUGCAUGAUUUUAAUUAGAAUCGGCAUUCCUCUAAAAUAGAGUGUUUGUUUAACUAUUACAGGAAUACCCGGGGAGCUUUUUUAAAAAGAGCAUCAUUAUAUUGCAGAACUAUAACAUUGACUGUUUCAUAAGCAGUGGUGCAAUUCUUUAAGAUCACCACCCCUGAUUCUGGCUAGGAAAAAAACCACAAAUCUGCAGCUAGCCCAUCUGCAACUAUCCCAUUGAAAUAGCUUUUAACUAAGCACUUUAUGGUAAUAAGGGGAAUUUGGAACUGGUUUUAACUUUGUUUUUUUGAUAUGGAUGAUGUUGUGGAGCAUUCUUGGAACUUUUAACAUUUGUUUUUAGCUUUGGUUUUAUGUUACGAUGUAUAUUUUAAUAUGAUGUGCACCACCUGACGAAAGGUGGCAUAGAAAUCUCCUAAAUAAAAUAAUUAAUUAAAUAAAAUUGGCUAUUAUAUGCUUUGAACUGAAUUAUAUGGCAGUGUAGACUCAUUUAAUCCAGUUCAAAGCAGAUAAUCUGGAUUCAGAAACUUGAUUAUAUGGCAGUGUAGAUCCAGCGUAAACAUCACAAUAGAACUGUAUGGUGUUUACAUAGUCAUAUGGCUCCCACGAUUACUGCAAUGUUUAGGGGAACUCAGAUUUACCCAUAAUAUCAACAAUGCUAUUUUUAGCCUUUUUUUGGCCUUGCAGGUAUUUUAGGAGAUUAACUUGGAUGAAAAUGGUUAAUAGUGUUAAGGAUUUUUAUAUGGAAAAAUCUGGGACACAUUGAUGCUGAAUAUAUUUAAUGUAUUUUAAAUAUCAGUCUUUGAAUAACUACAGAUCAAUAGGCAUAUUUAAAAACAAAGAAUUAAUUCAUUUACUGGUUCU
This is a long non-coding RNA of Anolis carolinensis (green anole), 1549 nucleotides long. The record is from Ensembl. NCBI's taxonomy places the organism in Eukaryota, Metazoa, Chordata, Lepidosauria, Squamata, Anolidae.